CUUUCAUUCCUAAACCACUCCUACGCCAUUAUUAUUAAUUGAAUACAAUAAGAAAUACAGAAAAUGUCAAAAUAAACGUGAUGUUUUCUAUCCGAUGGUAUCAGUGAACAUUGCGCAGAACAAACGUCAAUUAAACGAAGAAAUACGUCAAUGCCGGCACUUGAUGACUUAAUAGGCUUAGGAAUUAGUCGAUGCGUGUUAUUCCUUGAUAUAAUAAAUCCAGUGACAGUGUUUCGUAAAAGUGUACCGGUCGAGUCUAUUCCCGGAGGAAGUUAAAUGUCAGAUUUUAUGGGCCUUGAACGAACAAUGUCCGAAUAUGAUCCGUGAAACGUGUUUCGCAAACUCCUUGCCCCAGUAAUAAAAGCCUCGAGGCUGCAUUUACAAGUUCAAAGAACUCGCAGGGCGUGCGUUCUGGAAAACUUCUGCUCCAUUAUACAUAUUAAAACGAUCGUUUCUGGUGCAUAGUUUGUGAUAUUGUUCACAUCUACUGAUUUUGCAAACGUAAUACUUUUCCAUUUCUAACAAGAUCAUAAAUGAGUUUUUACGUCAAGCGCAACCCGGGCGCGGAUUUAAUAACAAUCGGGAGGGAAAUUGGUUCAACUCGCAGCGACAAAAGCGAGUCGACCGUUUCGCACGAUGCAAUAAUAGUCUAACGAAAGCGAGAGAAUACGGUUUCUACGUGCCCACGAAAUUGCUACAAUUAUAUCGCGGCACCGUGAUCAGUCUUUUCUUACAAGAACCGGUACACCCGCGAAAACUUUCCAUUUCCAACGAUAAACUGCUAAUGAACUUUGUUCAACGACGCGACGUACCGAUCCUGUGAGUGAAAACACGGAUUUCCAGUGAAACUUCCUGCUUUUGUCCGAACGGAAGAUAUUUUUCUAUAUCGUAAAUCACGCGGUUGUUUCAGAUUUAAGAACAAACAGAGAAAGUUUCCUUUGUUCUUAAACGAGCAUCCGUAUUAGUAACACACGGUAAUUAAUAUUCAAUGGAGAAUUAUUUGUAAAGAUGAUCGUGGGAAAUCUGUUUGGUAUGAAUACUUCUGUCUUCAACUUUAAGUUCAGAUUAGGUUUCAAUCUUGAUUAUUCGAUAUUUUGUUGAAUGACAGUGUAUCUAAUAAGUAUUUGAUUGUAACAAAAAAGUAGACACGGGAAUAACAAAUA
Long non-coding RNA from Ceratina calcarata, 1163 nucleotides. RefSeq lists it as uncharacterized. The transcript is spliced from 3 exons. NCBI's taxonomy places the organism in Eukaryota, Metazoa, Arthropoda, Insecta, Hymenoptera, Apidae. The record is from RefSeq and is a predicted model, not a curated record.